This 495-nucleotide ribosomal RNA is filed under the name uncultured bacterium. RNAcentral's name for it is "SSU rRNA". It matches the Rfam family "Bacterial small subunit ribosomal RNA", at positions 26 to 518 of the family's 1533-position model. The record is from RNAcentral.
AGGACGAACGCUGGCGGCGUGCUUAACACAUGCAAGUCGAGCGGUAAGGCUCCUUCGGGAGUACACGAGCGGCGAACGGGUGAGUAACACGUGAGUAAUCUGCCCUCCACUUCGGGAUAAGUGCCGGAAAACGGCGUCUAAUACCGAAUACGACGCACUCUCGCAUGAGAUACGCGUGGAAAGUUUUAUCGGUGGAGGAUGUGCUCGCGGCCUAUCAGCUUGUUGGUGAGGUAACGGCUCACCAAGGCUUCGACGGGUAGCCGGCCUGAGAGGGUGACCGGCCACACUGGGACUGAAAUAUGGUCCAGAGCCCUACGGGGUUUAGCAUGGAGGAAUCUUGCGCAACGGGGGCAACCCCGGCGCAGCAACGCCGCGUGGGGGAGGAAGGCCUUCGGGUCGUAAACCCUCGUUGUCCGGAAGAAGUACUCGGGGGAGAGCCCUCGGGGAAGACGGUACCGGACGAGGAAGCCCGGCUAACUACGUGCCAGCAGCCGC